AUACCUUGCCCAGGGGCAGGAACCGAACGACCUUGUUUAUCCAUAGCUGUGGAAACAUAACCAACAAUACCAUGUAUAGGGACACCCAUCUCAAUAGCAAGCUUUGCUUGCAUGAUAAUCUGUACACCAGCACCUUGAGACUCCAUAAAUCCAUCACGAGUAGAAGUAGCAGGACGAGACAUUUCUUGAGGAGUACGUCCCCUUUCUGUUUCCUUAGCAGCAUUUGAUGUAGCACCCAUGUUCGCAAACUCGUAUGAACCUUCUUCUGAAAAGUCGUCAUAACCACC
This is a non-coding RNA of Schizosaccharomyces pombe (fission yeast), 287 nucleotides long. NCBI's taxonomy places the organism in Eukaryota, Fungi, Ascomycota, Schizosaccharomycetes, Schizosaccharomycetales, Schizosaccharomycetaceae. The record is from the annotation of a GenBank genome assembly.